GCGCAGGUGGGACAGUGGUUACUCCGGUCGGCUGCAGCCCGACUUUUCCCAGGUUCGAAUCCUGGCCUGCGCU
This 73-nucleotide transfer RNA is filed under the name archaeon. RNAcentral describes it as "tRNA-Cys". It matches the Rfam family "tRNA". Rfam says of the family: Transfer RNA (tRNA) molecules are approximately 80 nucleotides in length. Their secondary structure includes four short double-helical elements and three loops (D, anti-codon, and T loops). Further hydrogen bonds mediate the characteristic L-shaped molecular structure. tRNAs have two regions of fundamental functional importance: the anti-codon, which is responsible for specific mRNA codon recognition, and the 3' end, to which the tRNAs corresponding amino acid is attached (by aminoacyl-tRNA synthetases). tRNAs cope with the degeneracy of the genetic code in two manners: having more than one tRNA (with a specific anti-codon) for a particular amino acid; and 'wobble' base-pairing, i.e. permitting non-standard base-pairing at the 3rd anti-codon position. The record is from RNAcentral.